This 497-nucleotide ribosomal RNA is filed under the name uncultured bacterium. RNAcentral describes it as "partial 16S ribosomal RNA". It matches the Rfam family "Bacterial small subunit ribosomal RNA", at positions 28 to 507 of the family's 1533-position model. The record is from RNAcentral.
GAUGAACGCUGGCGGCGUGCCUAAUACAUGCAAGUCGAGCGAACGGACGAAAAGCUUGCUUCUCUGAUGUUAGCGGCGGACGGGUGAGUAACACGUGGAUAACCUACCUAUAAGACUGGGAUAACUUCGGGAAACCGGAGCUAAUACCGGAUAAUAUUUUGAACCGCAUGGUUCAAAAGUGAAAGACGGUCUUGCUGUCACUUAUAGAUGGAUCCGCGCUGCAUUAGCUAGUUGGUAAGGUAACGGCUUACCAAGGCAACGAUACAUAGCCGACCUGAGAGGGUGAUCGGCCACACUGGAACUGAGACACGGUCCAGACUCCUACGGGAGGCAGCAGUAGGGAAUCUUCCGCAAUGGGCGAAAGCCUGACGGAGCAACGCCGCGUGAGUGAUGAAGGUCUUCGGAUCGUAAAACUCUGUUAUUAGGGAAGAACAUAUGUGUAAGUAACUGUGCACAUCUUGACGGUACCUAAUCAGAAAGCCACGGCUAACUACGUG